CAGCAGCCACGGGAAUACGGAGGGUGCAAGCGUUAAUCGGAAUUACUGGGCGUAAAGCGUGCGUAGGCGGUUCGUUAAGUCUGUUGUGAAAGCCCCGGGCUCAACCUGGGAAUGGCAAUGGAUACUGGCGAGCUAGAGUGUGUCAGAGGAUGGUGGAAUUCCCGGUGUAGCGGUGAAAUGCGUAGAGAUCGGGAGGAACAUCAGUGGCGAAGGCGGCCAUCUGGGACAACACUGACGCUGAGGCACGAAAGCGUGGGGAGCAAACAGGAUUAGAUACCCCUGUAGUCCCUGUCUCUUAUAC
RNAcentral lists this ribosomal RNA (301 nucleotides) under uncultured bacterium. Its description in RNAcentral is "partial 16S ribosomal RNA". It matches the Rfam family "Bacterial small subunit ribosomal RNA", at positions 509 to 807 of the family's 1533-position model. The record is from RNAcentral.